AUUUUGGACAAUGGGCGAAAGCCUGAUCCAGCCAUGCCGCGUGUGUGAAGAAGGCCUUCGGGUUGUAAAGUACUUUCAGCGAGGAGGAAGGCAUUGUGGUUAAUAACCGCAGUGAUUGACGUUACUCGCAGAAGAAGCACCGGCUAACUCCGUGCCAGCAGCCGCGGUAAUACGGAGGGUGCAAGCGUUAAUCGGAAUUACUGGGCGUAAAGCGCACGCAGGCGGUUUGUUAAGCCAGAUGUGAAAUCCCCGGGCUCAACCUGGGAACUGCAUUUGAAACUGGCAAGCUUGAGUCUCGUAGAGGGGGGUAGAAUUCCAGGUGUAGCGGUGAAAUGCGUAGAGAUCUGGAGGAAUACCGGUGGCGAAGGCGGCCCCCUGGACAAAGACUGACGCUCAGGUGCGAAAGCGUGGGGAGCAAAC
This 420-nucleotide ribosomal RNA is filed under the name uncultured bacterium. Its description in RNAcentral is "bacterial SSU rRNA". It matches the Rfam family "Bacterial small subunit ribosomal RNA", at positions 361 to 773 of the family's 1533-position model. The record is from RNAcentral.